This 3637-nucleotide long non-coding RNA is filed under the name Sus scrofa (pig). Its description in RNAcentral is "lncRNA (ENSSSCG00045010631.1)". The record is from RNAcentral. Lineage: Eukaryota; Metazoa; Chordata; Mammalia; Artiodactyla; Suidae.
UUUUUUUUUUUGUAUUUUCAGGGCCAUACCUGUGGCAUAUGCAAGUUUCUGGACUAGGGGUCAAAUCAGAGCUGUAGCUGCUGGCCUAUACCAUAGCCACAGCAAUGUUGGAUCCAAGCAGCAUCUACUGCAAUCUAUAUCAUAAGCUGUGGCACGCUGGAUCCUUAACUCACUAAUCAAAGCCAGGGAUUGAACCUGAAUCCUCAAAGACACCAUGUCGGGUUUUUAUCCCACUGAGACACAAUGGGAACUCCUAAGGUUGAACUUUUAAAUAUACAUACAGAGGAGUUCCUGUCAUGGCUCAGCAUAAUGAACCCAACGGGAUCCAUGAGGAUGCAGAUUCCAUCCCUGGUCUCGUUCAGUGAGUUAAGGAUCCGGCAUUGCCAUGAGCUAUAGUGUAGGUCACAGGUACGGCUCAGAUCUUACGCUGCUGUGGCAAAGGCCAGCAACUGUUCCUCUGAAUCAACCCCCACCCUGGGAACUUCCAUGUGCUUCCAUAUGUCAUGAGUGUGGCCCUAAAAAGCAAUACACACAAACAUACACACACAUAUGUAGGUAUAUAUUAUAUAUAAUUUUUGUGUCUAUAUAUAGAUUCAUUUAUAUAUUUAUUACUUCCCUGCCAAAAUAAAAGUACUUUAUUUUAUUUUAAUUAUUUAUUUGUUCCUUCAAUGUUACCCAUCUUUGUUUUCACUAGACUAUGUAUUGUAAUACAUUUACCUGAAGUAAAUUAUCCUUCUUGUGUAUUGUUCAGAUAUGAUUUCUAUUCGAGUAUAAUACUAUUCCUGAAAAUUUUAUCCCAAGGUGAAACAUGGAAUUCCAUAAUAUUAGAAUAAAUCAUUUUUUGGUAUUCAUUCCAUAAAUGUAUAAUCAUGGUUUAUAUAACUAUUUACUACUUUGUAAAGUGAAUUUGAAGACAUGCAUAGAAUGAUACCAAAUACUUAUAAUUAUGAAGUAAUAUUUUUAAGAGUAUAUUUCAAUUCUAUCUUAAAUUUUCUUCCUAACUUAUCUUUGUUCUUAUUACAUAACAUAUAAGUAUGCAAAAUAAGCAUUGAUCUGGGUAAUUUCAGCCUCUGUAUAUUCUCUAAACAGUGAUGUGUUCCCCUAAAUAAACACAUCAAGAGGGAGCCUUACAUUAUUGGACAGUUUUUAAGGAAUUCAAUAAAAGAUACCACUCUGUUUCAGGAUUUAUUGUUUGUAGUAUAACUAUUAUUUUAAAACCUCAUCUCAUAUAUGGGUAUUGGUGUUAUGAUAUUUAUGAAACAGCAAGAAAUGUCCACAGAUCCUUAUCUGCACUAGACACCCUCCAGCCAAAACAUCAGAGGUGAACAUCUUGUCAUCUCACUUCCAAAAAAAACACUCCUUCCAGAGCCCUUGUUUACAUUUCCCACUAAACUUGAAACUCAGCCUUUGCACUUCCAGAGAGGAGACCAUGGUAACCACACACUGACUGACAAGACAGAGUCAUUUAACAAAGCCAGAUCAGCAGCAUGGAAGUGAGCGCCUUUGCAACUCAUGAACCAGAAUGCCAGCCACAUGUCCAAGCAGUUAACUCAAGUUGAAGUAGCUCUGAGCUAAGCUGGGUGUGAAUGGAAAUGUGUGUUACAUGGAACAGUGAAAGGCUAGUUGUGGAUUACAAGAAUACAACCAUGAAAUAUGAACACCCACAAGCACACAGAGCUAGCAAUUAUUAGACAUAUUAGGAUUAACAGACCUUUCUUCCAAGAAACAAUUUCAGCAAAUUUUUGACCCAGGAAGGAACUUUUUCCUACCAACUCAAAGCCAAGUCAUUAUAGCUCAAAGUUUGCCAUAACAAUUUUUAUCACUUAUUUUAUCUUCUUAAUUACAUGCCACAUAUCGUUUUACAUUUGAUUAAUAAAUUUUCAUCUUUAAAGUAUGUGACAUUGCUAUUGGGUUUGAAUAGCCUUUAAUAACUUUAAAAACCUGAACAAUAUCCAUGUUUUGAGACUGGGUCAUUUCCACACCUAGAUGAGAAUGAAGAUAUUUUGGCAAUCAAGCUAGCCCCUUAGUAAUAGGCUUAAAAGUCCACUGAAGACCCCAAAGGAUUUUUAACUUAAUAAGUACUACCACUCAAGUCCUCCUACUUAGGGACUCAGAAAAAAGAAAAAAAAAAUUUCAACUAAACAAAACUUUAUUCAAUUUACAAGACACCUAGAAUAUUUAGCUCUAUAGUUUAUUCUAGUUUCCAACACUUUUUUUAAGUUUGCUACUUUUGAAUCUCUGAAGCAUUGAAAUAUAUCAGGACAAUCAUUCAAGACAGAACUAUGCAACUACUCUUGUUUUCCAUUAGACAGAUAAUAAUGCUAUUACUUUAGAUUUUUAAUUCUGUAACAGGUUUAAAUAAAACUAAUUAUUCCAUUAUAAAUUCAUGCAUAUGGUUAGUUAAAAAUAAAGACAUUUGAUUCCUUUAAGCAUAAAAAAAAAAUCUAUAGUAUUUCAAAUCAAGGGGAAAUUGGAUACCAUGAUACAUAAUUCAGGCAUGUGGAUUUUGUCAAAGAAGAAAUUAUAUAUCAAUAUCCAAUAGAAUUUUGAGACCUGACUGUUCAAAUUAAAUUGAUUGGUGCAAAUGAGGCCUAGCGGAUUCUUAAAAGGUCUGGUGUGAAACAGAUUUCACAGGCUAUUAAGAUCCUUGGUAGUAUCUACAUAAAAAUGCUACACUAUGGGUUCUAAGGUAACCCAGCCACUCAGCAAGCUGUUAAAUCAGAUACAGAGUACUACCUGAGGAUAUGAAAUGCUUGUGUUACCUUUAUCUUUCAAAGUAAUAAUGGGAUUAUUUUAAUUUCUGGGCUCAUUAAAACAUACUUAUUCAUUUCAGAGAUUCUAUUAGGUGAUCCAGAGCAUAUGACAAGUUGAAGGAAUUAGUUUAGGAAAAAUUUAAGAAUUCACUUUUCUUUUUGAGGUAAUUUUUAAAAGCUGCCCUAGAUAGUUAUUUAAUCUCUGCAGGCUAUCUUCUAGUUUCACUUCUUGGAUAAAAAAAUCCCAGAAUUGCAAUAUGUCCAUCUCCACAUAACAACAUAAAGAGAUUUAUUAAGAGAAACAGAAGAACUCCAGACUUGAAUCUCCACAUGCUUACUCAAACAACCCCACUUGAAUGCCUAAUAGACACAUUGAAAUGAAUACAGCCAGAAUUAAGUGAUCCUCAUUCCAAAUGCUCCUCUAAGAAUCUUCUUUCAGCAUGUGGUGACUUGAUUCCAUCAUUUUCUUGGAUCAAAAACCUCACAAUUGGAAUUCCCACUGUGGCUCAGCUGUAAUGAACCCAACUAAUAUCCAUGAGGAUAUGGGUUUGAUCCCUGGCCUCGCUCAAUGGGUUAAGAAUCUGGCUUUGCCAUGAGCUGUGGUGUAGUUUGCAGACUCAGCUCUGAUCCAGCAUUGCUGUGGCUGUGGUGUAUGUUGGCAGCUGCAGCUCUGAUUUGACCUCUAGCCUGGGAACUUUCAGGUGCGGCCCUAAAAAGCAAAACCAAACAAAAAUCCCAAAAGAUCUCACAAUUAUCCAUUUCUCAUUCAUAUCUCACAUAAUGUCAUCAGUCAACCCCACUAGCUCUACCUGCAACAUAUAUCAGUAAUUUGACAAAUUUUUACUGCUUUUAAAGGUAUCUGUGUCCAAGGGCAAUGGUUUUCC